ACGAGAAAAGCUUGGAAAAUACGAGAUCAGAUCUGAGUCAAUAAGGUCAAAAGCAGGCUCAGAAGCUAAGAUAUGCUGCAGCAAGGCUGGAGAAGGCUGAAAACCUUCAAUGAACGAAUGUCUGGGUGAAGAUUCUCGAAGAUUUGCUUUGAAUCUUCAGGCAUCAGGCAUGUGAAAGCAGUAGGAGGUGCGUAUAGGUCGUCCAUGGCUAGAGCAGCCAUAGAUUCUGGUGGAUUUGAGGUCAACGAGGGGUAGGCAAUGAUUAGGAUUUUUAGAGCGCUCGAGAGAAGAGAGGAA
RNAcentral lists this long non-coding RNA (297 nucleotides) under Nicotiana benthamiana. Its description in RNAcentral is "long non-coding RNA (NBEN_LNC019227)". The record is from RNAcentral. Lineage: Eukaryota; Viridiplantae; Streptophyta; Magnoliopsida; Solanales; Solanaceae.